This 531-nucleotide ribosomal RNA is filed under the name Xenocalamus transvaalensis. RNAcentral describes it as "partial 16S ribosomal RNA". It matches the Rfam family "Bacterial large subunit ribosomal RNA", at positions 1795 to 2622 of the family's 2925-position model. Lineage: Eukaryota; Metazoa; Chordata; Lepidosauria; Squamata; Lamprophiidae. The record is from RNAcentral.
UCCGACUGUUUAACAAAAACAUAACCUUUAGCCUAAACAAGUAUUAAAGGCAACGCCUGCCCAGUGAAUAAUUAAACGGCCGCGGUACCCUAACCGUGCAAAGGUAGCGUAAUCACUUGUCUAUUAAUUGUAGACCCGUAUGAAAGGCAAAAUGAGGGCCUAACUGUCUCUUAUAAUAAAUCAAUUAAACUGAUCUCCCAGUACAAAAGCUGGAAUUCUAACAUAAGACCAGAAGACCCUGUGAAGCUUAAACUAAACUAUUAAAACACAUAAUAGCUCCUUUCGGUUGGGGCGACCUUGGAAAAAAAAAGAACUUCCAAUAGGCCUACAAGCCGAAAUUAGACCCAGUAUAACUGAUAAUUGAACCAAGUUACUCCAGGGAUAACAGCGCUAUCUUCCUCAAGAGCCCAUAUCAAAAGGAAGGUUUACGACCUCGAUGUUGGAUCAGGACAUCCUAAUGGUGCAGCCGCUAUUAAGGGUUCGUUUGUUCAACGAUUAACAGUCCYACGUGAUCUGAGUUCAGACCGGAGA